Molecule: ribosomal RNA, 253 nt
Filed under: uncultured prokaryote
Description: partial 16S ribosomal RNA
Rfam family: Bacterial small subunit ribosomal RNA
Source: RNAcentral
UACAGAGGCCCCGAGCGUUAAUCGGAAUUACUGGGCUUAAAGGGUGCGUAGGCGGACCAGAAAGUGCUUUGUGAAAGCCCCCGGCUCAACCGGGGAACUGCGGGGCAUACUGCUGGUCUUGAGGCAAGUAAGGGUUGCGAGAACUGUAGGUGGAGCGGUGAAAUGCGUAGAUAUCUACAGGAAUGCCGAUGGUGAAGACGCGCAACUGGGCUUGUCCUGACGCUGAGGCACGAAAGCGGGGGGAGCAAACAGG